UGUGCCUACUAAAAGUAUUAUUGGCAUGCCACGGCCCACGAGGGCCCCAGACGGUUCGCCACCGGAGGGCGACGAUCCUAAUGACCCCGUAAACGUGGACACUGCGAAAGAUUAAAGAAAA
Manduca sexta (tobacco hornworm) is the source of this 121-nucleotide long non-coding RNA. RefSeq lists it as uncharacterized. The record is from RefSeq and is a predicted model, not a curated record. The transcript is spliced from 2 exons. NCBI's taxonomy places the organism in Eukaryota, Metazoa, Arthropoda, Insecta, Lepidoptera, Sphingidae.